GGAGGGGGUUAGCGUUGUUCGGAAUUACUGGGCGUAAAGCGCGCGUAGGCGAUUAGAAAGUUGGGGGUGAAAUCCCGGGGCUCAACCUCGGAACUGCCUCCAAAACUGCUAGUCUAGAGUUCGAGAGAGGUGAGUGGAAUUCCGAGUGUAGAGGUGAAAUUCGUAGAUAUUCGGAGGAACACCAGUGGCGAAGGCGGCUCACUGGCUCGAUACUGACGCUGAGGUGCGAAAGUGUGGGGAGCAAACAGGAUUAGAUACCCUGGUAGUCCACACCGUAAACGAUGAAUGCCAGUCGUCGGGUAGUAUACUAUUCGGUGACACACCUAACGGAUUAAGCAUUCCGCCUGGGAGUACCGGUCGCAAGAUUAAAACUCAAAGGAAUUGACGGGGGCCCGCACAAGGCGUGGAGCAUGUGGUUUAAUUCGAAGCAACGCGCAGAACCUUACCAACCCUUGACAUCCUGUGCUACAUCCAGAGAUGGAUGGUUCCCUUCGGGACCGCAGUGACAGGU
RNAcentral lists this ribosomal RNA (511 nucleotides) under unidentified marine eubacterium. RNAcentral describes it as "bacterial SSU rRNA". It matches the Rfam family "Bacterial small subunit ribosomal RNA", at positions 527 to 1039 of the family's 1533-position model. The record is from RNAcentral.